Molecule: small RNA, 2682 nt
Filed under: Pongo abelii (Sumatran orangutan)
Lineage: Eukaryota; Metazoa; Chordata; Mammalia; Primates; Hominidae
Description: retained intron
Source: RNAcentral
UAUCAUUUCAUCCACCCUCUUCAGAGAGUGAUACUGAGGACUAGUGAGGCUGUGACUGGCCCAAGGUCACCCAGGCUAGGCUGGAAAUCAGGCCUCAGCUCUCGUUGACAGCUGUUCUACCUCACCUCACCUCCUCAGUCUUCCCUUGGGAAACCACAGGCCAGGGAGAGGCAGGAGUGUAAAAUCCACGAUGGGCGUGCAGCGCAGAGCUGGCUCCCAGCAUCUCAUGUGCCUCAUUUCAUAUAGAGUCACCAAACUUUCCUCCAAGGCUUAAAAACACAGAUCCUUCCUCCUUUUUGAAAAGCCGCUACUCUGGGGAGGAUGGAGUUGGGACUCCCGGGUGCUUGCCUUGUGUGAUCAUGGUUUUGAAGCUCAGGGUCAGGGUCCCUGCAUCCCGUGGCAGUGGCCAGGGCUUGUCAGCCAAUGUUGCCUUUCCCACAGGAAAAGGCUGAGGAGGUGUAUCGUCUGUAUCAGAGCUCGCCCCUCUCCUCGCACCCCGUGGUGGCCCUGUCAGAGCUCAGCACCCUCUGUGCUAACUCCUGCCCAGAUGAGAGGACCUUCUACUUGGUGUUGCUGCAGCUGCAGAAGGAGAAGAGGGUCACAGUCCUCGAGCAGAACGGGGAGAAGAUUGUGAAGUUUGCCCGAGGGCCACAUGCCAAGGUCUCUCCAGUCAAUGACGUAGAUGUUGGGGUGUACCAGCUGAUGCAGAGUGAACAGCUUCUCUCGCGCAAAGUGGAGUCCUUAUCCCAGGAAGCAGAGAGGUGUAAAGAAGAAGCCCGCCGGGCAUGCCGAGCAGGGAAGAAGCAGCUGGCACUGAGGUCUCUCAAGGCCAAGCAACGGACAGAGAAGCGCAUCGAGGCCUUGCAUGCCAAGCUGGACACUGUUCAAGGCAUCCUGGACCGGAUCUACGCCUCCCAGACAGAUCAAAUGGUUUUUAAUGCCUACCAGGCUGGGGUAGGAGCGCUCAAACUCUCCAUGAAGGAUGUCACAGUGGAGAAGGCAGAGAGCCUCGUGGAUCAGAUCCAGGAGAUUUUGACAGUGAAGAACUGGAGAAGGAAUUGGACAUCCUCCUUCAGGAUACCACCAAAGAACCUUUGGAUCUGCCUGACAACCCCCGCGAUAGGCAUUUUACGAACAGUGUGCCUAACCCUAGGAUCUCAGAUGCUGAACUUGAAGCUGAACUUGAGAAAUUGUCCUUAUCAGAGGGAGGUUUGGUCCCAAGCGGUAAAUCUCCGAAAAGGCAAUUGGAACCGACUCUAAAGCCAUUGUAGGACCCUCAAGUGAAGGACCGUCAUGUAAAAGAGAGACCAGGCUUGCUGGGUGUGUACAUAGUUAUUUAAACAAGAAACUCUCAGAAUAUGUUUGGAAGAGGAGGAAGGAGAAGUACUGAUUUUAUCUGGAUGCUACUACUUACUACGGGACAGAUAGAAUUUCUGGAAGCGAUGCUCCAAAGGCUUGCUCCCAGCUGUAUCAUGGACCUGCCUUCUCAUCUUUCUAGUGCCACGAUUUAUACAGUCCCGUGUCUGACCUGUCAUUUCAUAGCCUGCAGUUCUUGCCAUUGGCACACUUAGGUUUGUCUUCACCCACCAGCUUCGUUCCAGCCCACGAAGGGGAAAGAUUUGCAGCUUUGCCAAAUCUGAAUCAGUUCCCACUUCCCCCUGCGGUUUUUUAGAGGGGUUUAUCCUGUCGCUAAUGUCAGUUAAAUAACUUAUUCCUGUCCCACUUGAUUUCACUGGUAAGAGAAGAAUGAGAAUGAAAUACUUCAAGGUUUUAUUUGAGGGGACUUAGCUGCCAUUUUAUGGAGAAACAUGUAGUAUAAAAGGUUUUUCUCUAGGGUCAUUUGUCAGAAUUCUCCAGGUGUUCAGAGAAAGAGGUCGCCCCAAGUGGCCCAGAGUCGUGACAGUCUGGAGGGGCUGGUGUGGCCGGUGGGCACUGCCUCUUCAUCUGAUGGAGCAGGAGGUCUGCCGGUGGGGGAAAGGCUUCUUCCAAGGCUUCUGCACUCGCCUAGGAAGAGGCCCAGUCACUACAGGACCCUGAGAUGUCCAGACCCCUUAUGCUUUUCUAAAGAGGCAAAAUUGUUGCCUUGGCCCCAUCAUGGAAUAACUUAAAAAUACAUAUCUAUCUUCCAGAACAAGCCACACAACAACACACCUCCCCGCCUUGAGCCUGGCACACAGCACUGGGCUCUCUGAAUUUGGAAAGCGUUUCACUUUGUGGCCUACUGCUCGGGGCAGGGGGGCUGAGCCAGGAUGUGCAAUAGAGCAGGGGCUGUGCCCUCUGCCAGAUCUGCCGGGAGCUGCCCGGGCCACCCGUGCACCUGUCCUGCUUCCUGCAGUCCCCGCUCCCUGCCUCCUUUGAGGGACUAGGGAGGGUGGGGUAGGGGGACAGACGGGAAAGGGUCUGAAUGCUCUGGCAAUGGCGAGAAGAAACGAUCGCCACACUGUCACUCUGCUGCCCAGCCACCAGGAUUUCUGCCUGGAGCCCUUUGCCCUGUCCCUGCUGCCUGAGGUGGCGUAGAGCAGAGGAGAAGAAUUUGCUCCAGGCCAGGAGCACAAAUCAUUGUUCAAUGAAUUUCUCUCCAACUCGACCUUGGUAAACGGAAAUGUUGGGGGUGAAGAGAAACAAUCACUAUUUUUUUUCUUUUUUAUCUGGUAAAUAAUUAAAAGAAAAACCGAACACUUG